Long non-coding RNA from Halichondria panicea, 437 nucleotides. RefSeq lists it as uncharacterized. The record is from RefSeq and is a predicted model, not a curated record. NCBI's taxonomy places the organism in Eukaryota, Metazoa, Porifera, Demospongiae, Suberitida, Halichondriidae. The transcript has 4 exons.
GGCUGAGUAAUUCGACCACGGUCCUGGGCCAAGUAAAGCAAGAGAACUUGUGUUUUCUUAGUUGUGGAUCCUGAAUAUGGCAACUGAGAUAGCAAAAAUGGUUGCUGGUGCAAAAUUAAAGCAAGUAACAGGAGAUAUUGGAGUGUUGAGUCCAUCCAUGCGUAGUGACACGCAUGGAUGAUGAUGUGGGCUUGUGUCUGUAUUCUCGUGCGAGUCAUUUAAUGGUCGCAUUUUUUGAAGUUCUUUCCAGGUCCUUUCGACGAGUCAGCAGCAGUUUCAAGUCUAUACACAGAAUUUAGGAGCUCUGGGAGUUGACUCGGAAAGUGACACGAAUCGUGCUAAAGAACUAAAUGAGAAAGCAGAUCAAGAAAGAACAAAAAGAAAGGAAGAACGAAAACAGGAAAAACAGCUCCAUCAUAAAGAAAAAGAGUUAGAAA